UAAACAGACUUAGUGGGUAUUAAAAUGUUGGUCAAUCUUCUGCCGUCUUGAUUUAAAAGCACUUCUCUUUUACUAUUGUAAGACGGAAUAUGCAUGCAAGAUCGCUUUAGUUGGUUGAAUGUCUCUUUCUUUGUGUUGUGGUUUGUUCGUUUUUUUCUAAUUUGGAAUAUUAUAAGAAACGUUGUUUUCUUGCAACAUUUUGAAAUGGUCAUUCAAAAAGCUGGAUUCGGUACCACUUUUCUUUUUACCUUGUCUUCUAAGCUCUGUUAAAUUUCUUGAUGGGGUCCAGUUAAACCAACCCCCAAGUUGGUUUAUGUGAGCCUUGUCUCUUUUUUGGAUGAAUAGUAGCUUAGAUAGUGAUAGUUAUUAUUAUGACUGAUGGAAUCUACUUAAAAAUGGAUUCCAUUUUUUGUCUACUGUAAUUGAAUUCUUUUUGGUACACUUUUUGGCUGCAUUGUUAUCCUUGAAAGCACUUACAAUGUUUAAACUUUGCGAAUGACUGAAACAG
This 508-nucleotide small nuclear RNA is filed under the name Schizosaccharomyces pombe (fission yeast). RNAcentral describes it as "meiRNA". Lineage: Eukaryota; Fungi; Ascomycota; Schizosaccharomycetes; Schizosaccharomycetales; Schizosaccharomycetaceae. The record is from RNAcentral.